This 407-nucleotide ribosomal RNA is filed under the name uncultured bacterium. RNAcentral describes it as "bacterial SSU rRNA". It matches the Rfam family "Bacterial small subunit ribosomal RNA", at positions 355 to 774 of the family's 1533-position model. The record is from RNAcentral.
UGGGGAAUAUUGCACAAUGGGCGCAAGCCUGAUGCAGCGACGCCGCGUGAGGGAUGACGGCCUUCGGGUUGUAAACCUCUUUCAGCAGGGAAGAAGCGCAAGUGACGGUACCUGCAGAAGAAGCGCCGGCUAACUACGUGCCAGCAGCCGCGGUAAUACGUAGGGCGCAAGCGUUGUCCGGAAUUAUUGGGCGUAAAGAGCUCGUAGGCGGUUUGUCGCGUCUGCUGUGGAAACGCGAGGCUCAACCUCGCGCCUGCAGUGGGUACGGGCAGACUAGAGUGCGGUAGGGGAGACUGGAAUUCCUGGUGUAGCGGUGGAAUGCGCAGAUAUCAGGAGGAACACCGGUGGCGAAGGCGGGUCUCUGGGCCGUAACUGACGCUGAGGAGCGAAAGCAUGGGGAGCGAACA